CUUGCACGGGUUUGUCGAUUGGUCUUGUUGUCUUGGCGCUGUCCCAGUCUAUUAAAGCGUUGUUGGCGUAGGCUUGUUGUGCCAGGGCCGUUGUGACUCUUCCCAUUUUGGUGUCAUUCUUAUGUUCAUGUGUUCUAUGGCGCAGGAUUCUCUUGGUGACUCGGAUUUGGGUGGCUUCUGUGCCUUGUGGUUGAUGUUUGGGGGGUAUCCUAUAUACGCUGGAUUUUUGCUGUAUCUUUUCUUGGGUCUUUCUUGUUGCACAGUGCAUUGGGGGGAGUUGGCAUUCUUUUGGGAGCUAUUUUUCUUCCAGUCUUGGAGGCUGUUUCUUUUAUAACUGUGGAUUUUGUUGGGGGAUACGGCACCAGAGUGGGGGCAUCUUGCUGAGUUCUUUGCUGGUGGUCAUUUUGGGAGGCGUUGUGUAUCUUUGUUCUUAUUUUUCAGUGUACUCUAUCUAACAAGGAGAGGUCCUCAGGUGGAAUCCACCGAUUUUGAUGGGACUUAAUAG
Molecule: long non-coding RNA, 505 nt
Filed under: Androctonus crassicauda
Lineage: Eukaryota; Metazoa; Arthropoda; Arachnida; Scorpiones; Buthidae
Source: RNAcentral